GCUGACGACCGGCGCACGGGUGCGUAACGCGUAUACAAUCUGCCUUGCACUAAGGGAUAGCCCAGAGAAAUUUGGAUUAAUAUCUUAUGGUUUAUAAUUAUGGCAUCAUAUUUAUAAUAAAGGUUACGGUGUAAGAUGAGUAUGCGUCCCAUUAGUUUGUUGGUAAGGUAACGGCUUACCAAGACUACGAUGGGUAGGGGCCCUGAGAGGGGGAUCCCCCACACUGGUACUGAGACACGGACCAGACUCCUACGGGAGGCAGCAGUGAGGAAUAUUGGACAAUGGAGGAGACUCUGAUCCAGCCAUGCCGCGUGCAGGAAGACGGUCCUAUGGAUUGUAAACUGCUUUUAUACAGGAAGAAUAAGGACUACGUGUAGUCUGGUGACGGUACUGUAAGAAUAAGGACCGGCUAACUCCGUGCCAGCAGCCGCGGUAAUACGGAGGGUCCGAGCGUUAUCCGGAAUUAUUGGGUUUAAAGGGUCCGUAGGCGGGCUGUUAAGUCAGGGGUGAAAGUUUGCAGCUCAACUGUAGAAUUGCCUUUGAUACUGACGGUCUUGAAUUAUUGUGAAGUGGUUAGAAUAUGUAGUGUAGCGGUGAAAUGCAUAGAUAUUACAUAGAAUACCGAUUGCGAAGGCAGAUCACUAACAAUUGAUUGACGCUGAUGGACGAAAGCGUGGGUAGCGAACAGGAUUAGAUACCCUGGUAGUCCACGCCGUAAACGAUGGAUACUAGCUGUUUGGAUUUCG
RNAcentral lists this ribosomal RNA (746 nucleotides) under Cellulophaga geojensis. RNAcentral describes it as "bacterial SSU rRNA". It matches the Rfam family "Bacterial small subunit ribosomal RNA", at positions 87 to 833 of the family's 1533-position model. Lineage: Bacteria; Pseudomonadati; Bacteroidota; Flavobacteriia; Flavobacteriales; Flavobacteriaceae. The record is from RNAcentral.